This 1518-nucleotide long non-coding RNA is filed under the name Anas platyrhynchos (mallard). RNAcentral's name for it is "lncRNA (ENSAPLG00020003099.1)". Lineage: Eukaryota; Metazoa; Chordata; Aves; Anseriformes; Anatidae. The record is from RNAcentral.
AUGCCUGUCCCCUGUCCCCAUGUCCAUCCCCUAUCUCCGUGUCCGUCCCCUGUCCCCAUGUACCUGUCUGCUGUCCCCCUGCCUGUCCCGUCCCCCUGCUUGUCCCUUGUCCCCAUGUCUGUCCCCUGUCCCCAUAUACCUGAAACCAUCUUCCCGUCCCCAUGCCCGUCCCCUGUCCCCAUGUCUGUUUCCUGUCCCUAUUCCUGUCCCUUCCUUGUCCCUUGUCCCCCAUUCCCUGUCCCCAUGUCCGCUCCCUGUCCCCCUGCCUCUCCCCUGUCCCCAUAUCUGUCCUCUGUCCCUAUUUCUGUCCCUUCCUUGUCCCCUCUUCCUGUCCCCACAUCCGUCCCCUGUCCCCACGUCUGUUCCCUGUCCCUAUAUACACGUCCCCUCUUCACAUCCCCUUGUCUGUCUCCUGUCCCCAUAUCUGUCCCUUGUCCCCAUGUCCCUCCCUUGUCCCCCUGUCCCUCCCCUGUCCCUAUUCCUGUCCCCUGUCCCCAUGUGUGUUCCCUGUCUCCAUAUACCUGUCCCCUCUCCCCUAUCUUCACCCCCUAUUCCUGGUUCCCUGUCCCCCUGCCUGUCCCCAUGUCUGUUCCCUGUCCCCAUAUACCUAUCCCCAGCCCCCUGUCCCCAUGUCCAUCCCCUGUCCCCACAUCCGUCCUCUGUCCCCAUGCCUGUCUCUUGUCCCCUGUCCCCAUGUCUGUUCCCUGUCCCUAUAUACCUGUCCUCUCUCCCCUAUUCUCAGUUCCUUGUCCCCAUGUCUGUCCUCUGUCCCCAUAUACCCAUCCCCUCUUCCUGUCCCCAUGUCCAUUCCCUGUCCCCAUGUCCAUCCCCUGUCCCCAUGUCUGUUCCCUGUCCCUAUAUACCUGUCCCCUCUUAAUAUCCCCCUGCCUGUCCCCUGUCCCCAUGUUUGUUCCCUGUCCCCAUAUCUGUCCCUUGUCCCCAUGUCUGUCCCCUGUCCCUAUAUACCUGUCCCCUCUUCAUGUCCCCAUGUCCAUCCCCUGUCCCCAUGUCUGUUUCCUGUCCCUAUUACUGUCCCUUCCUUGUCCCUUGUCCCUGACCCCUGUCCCCAUGUCCAUCCCUUGUCCCUAUUCCUGUCCCUUCCUUGUCCCCUGUCCCCACGUCUGUUCCCUGUCCCCAUAUACCUGUCCCCUCUUCAUGUCCCCUUGUCUGUCCCCUGUCCCCAUUCCUGUCCCCUGUCCCCAUGUCCCUCCCCUGUCCCCAUGUCUGUCCCUUGUCCCCAUGUCCGUCCCUUGUCCCCAUGUCUGUUUCCUGUCCCUAUUCCUGUCCCUUCCUUAUCCCUUGUCCCUCGUCCCCUGUCCCCACAUCCAUUCCCUUCCCCAUAUCCCUCCCUUGUCCCCCUGUCCCUCCCCUGUCCCUAUUCCUACCCCUUCUCCCCACGCCCAUCCCCAUUCCCCGCCCCGUCCCCAUUCCCCUCCCCGCCGCGCUCAGCUCCUCCCCGCGCGGCCUACCGCGGCCUCCACACCCCAAACCCACCCCAAACCCCCCAAACCCCCCUAA